AAAGGUACAACUACCUAGUUCUAUAACCGCCUCUAAAGGAUGUGGAUGCACCAUCAACUGCGAGAUUAUUUCACGUUUACCCUAUGAGUCCACACUAUGCUGGUUCAAGGACAACAACGGUGUAGAUGAACCUGUUAUAGUCGACAGUAAAAAGUAUCAUGGUUCAACGAUAGAAUUUCCAUCCCUGGUUAUUUCAAAUGUUGAUAAAUGUGAUGAAGGAUUCUAUUCCUGUCGAAUUGUGUACCCGACUAACUAUCAGUACGAAGAAGAUACUGAAGCAGUGGUAUGGCCUAAAACAUACCUACACGUUAACAAUCAAUGAUAAACAUUAAACAAAAUCAGUCUGUAAAAUCUUCCAAAAGAUUUAGUUUUAUUAGAAUUCUUUCUUUUCAUAAAGAAGCCAAAAAGCAAAAACCAUGUUCCUUUUUGUAGAAUUUGGAGUUUUUGACAUUGACAGUAUUGUUUUUUUUUAUGCAAUGUGUGAGUGUGUUAAGUUGUUGAAAACUUCACUGGAGCUUGUUAGAAAAAUAUUCAUCUAAUAUUUGAUCAUACUUACCACAGUAAACUUUAUAUAAAACGUCACAUUAGUUUAGGCAUCAAUGUCUUACCAAAUACAACGUGUAACUACAUUUUUACUUGCGACGAAAGUUAUUACACAAUGUUUCAGGGACAUUAGUUGAACACAUGUUUACCCAUUCGGGAACAAAUGAUCACCGUGGCCAUCUUUCGUUAUGCAUGCUCAUUACAAGGACAAAAAUACAUUAAUACGACAUGUUUGUCCUGCAAACCUCUACGCAUGCAUCAGAUUUAACGUCUCAUUUCGACUACACAUGGAUGGAUGUGUUUUAGAUAACUUGAAUAAACAAAUGGGAAACCUACUUUUACCAACGUGUUACUGCAGAACGAAAGAAAUUACAAAAUGACCAUAUGUUUAUGUGUACUUGAACUUCAUCAAACAAGUUAACAUCGAAAAUUUGGGACAACAUGAUAUCGAUUUUGGGGUACUCAACAUGUAUUACUUUAAUUUCACAAUCACGUGAAAAUCAAACCAUUUUGAAGUCUUCAUAUCGACUUAGGAGUACACAACAUAAUUAUGUUUCUGAUAUUAUGAACAUAAAUCACGUGGUCUCUCUCACUAUUUGUCGUCUCUCGUCUGAUGUUGUCGUCGCUGAAAUACUCUCCUCUGGAACCACCGGUUUAAUCUUAGCUAAACUUGGCCACAAUCAUCGUUCGGGCAAACAACAAAAAAUGCCGAAAAAUAAAACAAAUAAUUUGUAAGAUGCAAUAUAUUUUGUACGUAAUAUCAAAUAUUUAUUGCGCUUUUUAGAACCUUAACUGAUUAACAGAACACUUUUCCAUAUGCACGUUAUAUCCCUGUUUUCUGUUUUUAUUGUUUUCGCAUCUUCUCAAAAAGCAUAAGAGUUAUCGUCAGUUUAAAUUUUUACAAACUGGUUGUUACUUUCUACGGUUGAUUUGCUCUCGACCUAUAUGGAAUUUACUGACUCCCUAUAUAUCAUAUAAAGUCUACUAUCAAACUGUGUUACAAGUAAUACUCUUCUUGUAAUAUCCAUAAAAAUUAUGAUCAGAAUAAUCACAUAAUUAUUCUCUUUAAUAUACUUGCAAUUGUAUGCUCCAUAUGAUCAGAUUUAUCACACAUAACAGUACUAUAUUCUCAUUGUAUUAUCCAAAUGGUCAAUAUGUAGGACUCUAAAGUGCGAUGGGGACGCUAAAGUGCGAUGGCCACGCUAAAGUGCGAUGGUAUACGCUAAAGUGCGAUGUCCCCGGUCGCUAAAGUGCGAUGGUCUGCGAAAGUAUAUUUGAAAGCGACGUUAUUUCAUUAUGACGUUAACAUAUUUUUUUAAAAACAAAAAUGGACAUGCCUGAAAAUCAAUUAAGUAUUUUUGACAAUCUUCUUUUACCCGGCAAGGGUUACAAUACUUCACAAUAGGUUAAAGUUUAAUCAAGAGAUGAACACCGGCCCCAGCAGUCCAUGACUUACUGAAUUUUAAAACUAGCUGUGUUAUACCGGCGGAACCAAAUGUAUUUCUUUUUGGGAAUUUUCCUACAAUCGACCAUUUUACUUUACAGUAAAGAUGAAGAAUAGUAGAGAGUGGUUGUUUAACUCUGUAUUCUUCAAUUUUGUCAGACACUUUUCUCUAUUCUUUAUACAUUUUGACCCAUUAUUCUCUAUUUUGUAAACCCUAUCCACACCUUGUGUCCUGUUUCUGUUGCUGGCUAACGGGUACAUUUAUAUAUAUAAUACUGUUAAAGUCGUUCAUCGUUUAAAUUAUGUUGAUAUAAUUGAAAAUCAACGUCAGUGGAAAAAAAGGCAUACGUUCAAGCGAAUAAGAUUUAAAAACAGUAUUCGUAAAUUAUAAAAGUUAUGUGUGAGCCCCCUAUACUCGCUACGAAACAGAAGAAAAACCUCCCCUUUUUCUCCGUUUUUCAAAGUACAAAUCAUAGUUAUAUUUCCGACAGACUAUGUACAAAUCUUGUAUAUUUUUUUUAUGUACACAAAAUGUUAUUAAUUUAGACUGAAAUUGAAGAUUGAUAAAAGAAGGUGUCCACUGUACUGACUAGAAAGCUGCGUGAACGGCAUGAUACAUUAAUUAUCCAAAUACUUUAUUUAAUACGCUCGAAUUCGGUUCAGAAACUCUCUUUUAUAUUUUAAAACUCAUGUCUUUUACUUGCAUAAAUAAAGUCUACAUAUAUACUGUAAUUAUUUUGUAUUUACAAAAUGGAUCUCGUGUAAGACAUGUUACAUAGGGCUUACAAGAAUAGAAAAGAGUCUACCUAAUACCAGGAAAAAUUGCUUAAGGAAAUAAAGUCUAAUUAACUUAAGCAUAGUAGAAAAACUUUAAUUUUAAAAGAUCUCUUUCAAACAUUACUGUGCUAUACCCCACUAGCACACUAACUUCUGUAUUCUGACCAUUACAGUGUUUUUGGACAAACACGUCUGUACUUUUCGUUUUAUUUCAUUGUACUUUAGCCUCUGGUAAACAAUCUUACGUAAGUCGCUGCAUGUUAUACCAUCGCACUUUAGCGUAAGACACCAUCGUACUUUAGCGUAGACCAUCGCACUUUAGCGUGACCAUCGCACUUUAGAGUACCAUCGCACAUUAGAGUCCUACAAAUAUAGUGUUCACUCUCUUCUGUUCUAUAUUUUACUAGCAGUUUCUAAAUGCUUUUUUUGAAGAUGAUACUUAACUGUACUAUAUUUUCAGUUGAAUUUUCCAAAUCAUUUAGUAAACCUUCAGACUUCAUUGUAUUAUAUUUUAUUUGUAUUUUCCAGUGGCAGAUUCAGAAAUGUUGAUUAGAGGGG
This 3322-nucleotide long non-coding RNA is filed under the name Mytilus galloprovincialis (Mediterranean mussel). Lineage: Eukaryota; Metazoa; Mollusca; Bivalvia; Mytilida; Mytilidae. The record is from RNAcentral.